GCCGUUGUAGCUCAGUUGGUAGAGCAUUCCCAUGGUAAGGGAAAGGUCUGCGGUUCGAAUCCGCACAACGGCUCCA
RNAcentral lists this transfer RNA (76 nucleotides) under Patescibacteria group bacterium. RNAcentral's name for it is "tRNA-Thr". It matches the Rfam family "tRNA". Rfam says of the family: Transfer RNA (tRNA) molecules are approximately 80 nucleotides in length. Their secondary structure includes four short double-helical elements and three loops (D, anti-codon, and T loops). Further hydrogen bonds mediate the characteristic L-shaped molecular structure. tRNAs have two regions of fundamental functional importance: the anti-codon, which is responsible for specific mRNA codon recognition, and the 3' end, to which the tRNAs corresponding amino acid is attached (by aminoacyl-tRNA synthetases). tRNAs cope with the degeneracy of the genetic code in two manners: having more than one tRNA (with a specific anti-codon) for a particular amino acid; and 'wobble' base-pairing, i.e. permitting non-standard base-pairing at the 3rd anti-codon position. The record is from RNAcentral.